RNAcentral lists this ribosomal RNA (485 nucleotides) under uncultured bacterium. Its description in RNAcentral is "partial 16S ribosomal RNA". It matches the Rfam family "Bacterial small subunit ribosomal RNA", at positions 30 to 507 of the family's 1533-position model. The record is from RNAcentral.
AUUGAACGCUGGCGGCAGGCUUAACACAUGCAAGUCGAGCGGGGAAGAGUAGCUUGCUACUUGACCUAGCGGCGGACGGGUGAGUAAUGCUUAGGAAUCUGCCUAUUAGUGGGGGACAACAUCUCGACAGGGAUGCUAAUACCGCAUACGUCCUACGGGAGAAAGCAGGGGACCUUCGGGCCUUGCGCUAAUAGAUGAGCCUAAGUCGGCUUAGCUAGUUGGUGGGGUAAAGGCCUACCAAGGCGACGAUCUGUAGCGGGUCUGAGAGGAUGAUCCGCCACAAUGGGACUGGGACACGGCCCAGACUCCUACGGGAGGCAGCAGUGGGGAAUAUUGGACCAUGGGGGGAACCCUGAUCCAGCCAUGCCGCGUGUGUGAAGAAGGCCUUUUGGUUGGAAAGCACUUUAAGCGAGGAGGAGGCUACCGAGAUUAAUACUCUUGGAUAGUGGACGUUACUCGCAGAAUAAGCACCGGCUAACUCUGUG